CUUUUUUCUUUUCACUGGUCGGAUUUAAAGCUUUUCGAAAGUGGAAGAGUCUCGGAUUUCUGUGAGACGUUUAACCGAAGAACUACAAAGAAAAAUAAUAUGGAUGAUGGGA
Non-coding RNA from Caenorhabditis elegans, 112 nucleotides. The record is from Ensembl. Lineage: Eukaryota; Metazoa; Nematoda; Chromadorea; Rhabditida; Rhabditidae.